RNAcentral lists this ribosomal RNA (524 nucleotides) under uncultured bacterium. RNAcentral's name for it is "bacterial SSU rRNA". It matches the Rfam family "Bacterial small subunit ribosomal RNA", at positions 56 to 627 of the family's 1533-position model. The record is from RNAcentral.
UGCAGUCGAACGAGACCUUCGGGUCUAGUGGCGCACGGGUGAGUAACGCGUGGAAACCUGCCAUUCUGUACGGAAUAACGAUUGGAAACGAUCGCUAAUACCGUAUACGCCCUGUGGGGGAAAGGUCCGCCGCAGAAUGAGGGGUCCGCGUCCGAUUAGCUUGUUGGUGGGGUAAAAGCCUACCAAGGCGAUGAUCGGUAGCUGGUCUGAGAGGAUGAUCAGCCACACUGGGACUGAGACACGGCCCAGACUCCUACGGGAGGCAGCAGUGGGGAAUAUUGGACAAUGGGGGCAACCCUGAUCCAGCAAUGCCGCGUGUGUGAAGAAGGCCUUAGGGUUGUAAAGCACUUUCAAUGGUGAAGAUGAUGACGGUAGCCGUAGAAGAAGCCCCGGCUAACUUCGUGCCAGCAGCCGCGGUAAUACGAAGGGGGCGAGCGUUGUUCGGAAUUACUGGGCGUAAAGGGCGCGCAGGCGGCCAAUCCAGUCAGGUGUGAAAGCCCCGGGCUUAACCUGGGAACUGCACU